This 487-nucleotide unclassified non-coding RNA is filed under the name Hevea brasiliensis (rubber tree). The record is from RNAcentral. Lineage: Eukaryota; Viridiplantae; Streptophyta; Magnoliopsida; Malpighiales; Euphorbiaceae.
AAAAAAAAAAAAAAAAAAGGCUUCCAAUCAUGACAAAAAAACGAACAACCACAAAUUGCAAAAUUAACGGAAUAUGCUAAAAUAAAACCCAAAUCACCAAUCACCAAUCUUCAGGCCUUUGAUGGAAAAAGAUAAAUUUCAGAAACAAAUAAAGCACAUAGAAUCAAAGAUAGUCUAACAUCACCGACUAAACAAGCCAUCCACGAUCAUUAAAAGACCAACAUAGACUGCAAAACGACAGCAAAUUUUCAAAUGAAACCCAAAUCACUAAGCUUUAGGGCAUUGAUGGACAUCAAUUUCCCAAGCAAAUACGAAUUACCGGGAACACCACCGCGCAAGGGAUUAAACAACGAAACUAAUUAGCAGAUCAUACCAUAUAAACAAUCAAACACAUCUCCAUGAACAUAAAAGAAAAACAGAAGAUAUUUUCCAAUCUAAUAUUAAUGGCGGAGGUAAGUGUUACCUGAGAAAGAAGAGAGCAAACUCG